Molecule: ribosomal RNA, 221 nt
Filed under: uncultured bacterium
Lineage: Bacteria
Description: partial 16S ribosomal RNA
Rfam family: Bacterial small subunit ribosomal RNA
Source: RNAcentral
UACGUAGGGUGCGAGCGUUGUCCGGAAUUAUUGGCGUAAAGGCUCGUAGGCGGUUGUCGCGUCGGAGUGAAUCCACUGGCUUAACUGGUGGCUGCUUCGAUACGGCAGACUGGAGGUAUGCAGGAGAACGAAUUCCUGGUGUAGCGUGAAUGCGCAGAUAUCAGAGACACGUGCGAGCGUCUCUGCAUGUCUGACGCUGAGAGCGAAGUGUGGAGCGACAG